UCUCUCCUUCUACCAGCAAAUCCCAGUAGUCCACUGGGUUGUUGUUGAGGGCUUUUGCUUACUGAGCCACGGACCACCUUCUUCUCACUCUCUACAAGUUUUGAUGCUACAUUGGGCAAGGGAAACACAGGCUGAGGUUUUGCCGACAAGUGAGUAUGCUUGGUUUGACCUAGAAAUCAUCUCGGGGAAUAAAUUGUUGUUUCAUCUCGUGGAAGGACACCUGUCUCCCUGCCACUAAUACAGAAUCCUCUGCUCUUCAUGAUCUAAUUGCCACAAAUCCGGUUGGCUUGGCAGACCACAAAGCCUUUGUUAGCUUCCUGGCUCCAUUUUAGCUUCGGCGUGACUUCUGCUAUUGAUGCUGCUAACGACGUAAAUCAAAUUGCUUGGGGCAAGCUGUCUUGUACAUUUCUCAACAACCGGAAAGGGCUUCCACCACUUCUUACAUGUUAUUGGAUCUAAUUGGAAAAACCUUAAAUCCUCCGUGCCUUGCCUAAUAAUCCUAGUUCUUCGUUAUUCUUCUUUAUUCUACAUGUACCAAAAGUAACCGUUCUGUCAAAGUCAGAUGUUCAAAGAUACUGUAGUUCCAACAUAAAUGUAAGAAACAAACUCUGGUGUUUUGAAUGAAUUGUAACAUCUAUAUAUUAUGCUAAGCUACUGCUAAGACACAAGAGCCAAAGUGAGUAAAGGGAUAUUUUGUUUCUAUGUUUUUUUAUGUCAGGAACAUAUAUACAAAGGAUCUUACUAGUUUUUGUAUUUGCUAUAUAAAUAUGAUAAAACGAUAAUUAUAAAUAGAUUUGAAGAGGGAUUCUGCACCUUCAAUGAAAAAAAAAAGUGCAAAGACCUUUACUGUGUGAAGGGGAAGGCACAGCCAAAUGGGACAUCGUUUAUCCAGUAGUUGAGCUUUCGUCCUUUUAAGAAGCUAAGGUUUCCAGAGCAAGUAGUUAAUCUCUCCAAACUCCUCACUCCAUACAUGUUGUGUAGAGUGUCCAUACAUGAUAUAACAUGAUGAUGUUACAUCACAUUUUGCUGUUUGAACUGUAAUUUUGAAUUCCCCUAAAAUGGUAGGGGUAAAUAAAGAAAAAUCCUUAUUAAGAGAAAUUUUGACAUGUUUCUGUAUUUUAAGCAUAGAUUAAUCUCAUGAGAAACUAAAAUUCAAAGUGCAGUAGAAAUUGCAAUCAAUUUAUCUAAUGUUAUAUGAAUAGAAAAUGAAUGAUGUUUAACAAACAAACUGCUGAAAUCACAAAAAAGCAAAGAAGGUAAAAUUAUUCUAUGGUUUUCCAUAAAGUCAUUUAGAAUGA
This is a non-coding RNA of Rattus norvegicus (Norway rat), 1298 nucleotides long. The record is from RefSeq and is a predicted model, not a curated record. NCBI's taxonomy places the organism in Eukaryota, Metazoa, Chordata, Mammalia, Rodentia, Muridae.